This is a long non-coding RNA of Lytechinus pictus (painted urchin), 6134 nucleotides long. RefSeq lists it as uncharacterized. The record is from RefSeq and is a predicted model, not a curated record. The transcript is spliced from 3 exons. NCBI's taxonomy places the organism in Eukaryota, Metazoa, Echinodermata, Echinoidea, Temnopleuroida, Toxopneustidae.
GCCUAGAAAACGUAAAGUAUUUCAAGAGUUUUUAUAUUUUCAUUACAUCUUUGUCCUUAUUUUUCUAUAUCCGUAGCUCUACCAUGCGCGUAUGCGGGGGCGCCAAAAUAGGGAGAAAAGGGAAGGAAAGAAAAGGGGAGGAAAAGGGAGGGAGAGAAUAAGAGAAAGGGGGCAAGAAAGAGAGGAGGGAAAAAGAAGCACCGCAUUGGUGUUCGACCUAGGGGGGGGGGGGCGCGCCGAAUCGAUAAUCGACCUAGGGGCGCCAAAUUUAAGUCCAACAUAGAUAGGGGAGCCGAAAUUUGGUUCGAAAUAAGAGGCGUCGAGUUGAUAUCCGACCUAGGGGGCGCCGAAUUGAUGUUCGACCUAGGGGGCGCCAAAUCGAUGUUCGACCUAGGGGGUGCCAAAUUGAUGUUCAACCUAGGUAGGGGGGGGGGGAGCAAAUUGAUGUUUUACCUCGGGGAGCCGUAUAGAUGUUCGACAUAGGAGGGUGCCGAAUCGAAGUUCGACAUAGGGGCACUAAGGGGGCGCCGAAUCGAUAUUUUUUUCGUAGGGUUGCCGAAUUGCUGUUUGACAUGGGGGGGAUGCGCCGAAUUGAUGUUCAACCUAGAGCAUGUAGGGGGUGCCGAAUUUAUGUUUUGCUUAGGGGCGCCGAAUUGAUGUUCCACCAAGGGUGUGCCAAAUUGAUAUUCAUCCUAGGGGGGGGGGGGUGGUGAAUUGAAGUUUUACCCUCGGGGCGCCGUAUAAAUGUUCGAAAUAGGGGCACUGAGGGGCGCCGAAAUGAUGUUUAACCUUGGGGCUGGGGCGCCGAAUCAAUUUUUUUCCUAGGGUUGUCGAGUUGCUGUUUGACAUAUAGGGGCGCCGAAUUGAUGUUCAACCUAGGGGGUGCCGAAUGGAUGUUCACCACACGCCAAUUUGAUAUUUGUCUCGGUUCCUUAAAAUUCAGGUUCAAUUCAGGUAUUAUGUCAUUAUAUGAAUUGUGUUUUUGUGAAUGAUUAUUUUAUAGUAGUUUUCAUAGUUAGCACUGCUGCUAUAUUAAAUCGCGUAAUGCAGGCGAGACUGCCAGAUGCGUUCCACUUGUUUUUCUUUUUUUCUUUCCCUGAAGAAGAGCACAGUGCAGGAAAUGGGAUACUACCAUCAGGGACUUAUUACUAUCACUGCACAUCCAAUCAAAGAUGCCCAAUCAUCUUAACAAAUCAGAGCUGUUUUCAUCCUUUCCUGGGGAAUUCCUUCAGAGAGGCGGUUCGAAGUCUGACUAUACAUCUGAUUCUGCAUUUAAUUCCAGCCAAAGCUUUUCAAGCAGUGCAACAAACUCUCAAGUUAUGGGAUCUCAGAUGGAGAAUUCACAAUCUAGCUCCUUUGAUCUCUUUUCUCAAAUGAUGUCUCAACAACAGGGUUACUCACAACAAAAUGAGGGCACAUCUUCGAACUUCUACAUGAAAUAUAUGUCAAAGCCUCCACUCUUUCAGAAAGAUGGUGCAUCAAAGAAAACUACAUGUACACUUCCAAGGAGAAAGAGUUUCCAAGGAAUGCAAGAGUUUUACAGAGAAAAGGCCAAAGAUAGAGAUGAUAGGUACAUUAAGCAUACUUGAUGUCUUUUAAUUAAUUUGUUUCAUUGAUUGUUUCUCUAGAGUAAAACAUAUCAUUUUUAUCUCCCGAACAUCAAUAGAAGAAAGACUGACAUCAAAUUUUAGUCUUUGGUUGACUAUUAUUAUAGUCCAUCAUGCUCUACCAAAGUCUUAAAAGAUUCUGUGCCAUCCAAAUCCAACUUGAUUACUAUUGAUGCAUAGUGCUUAAUAAAUCUCAAUGUUACAAAUUGGUACUCCAUACCGGUGUGUUGGCUCAGUUGGUAGAGCGUCCGUCUUGUACAUCGCCUUGGCAGCAGCAGCAAUGCGCAUUUAGCCAUGUUUAGCCCUUCGCGUAUUGCACCCGCAUUCAUAAGCGCAAUGAAUGUAUUAUUGAAGAAUCCAAAUAUGUUUCAUAGAGUUUUAACCAAUUUAAAGAAAAAAACGUUUUUCAACUUGCCAUUCUCCACCCCUGAAAAGAGAGCUGAUCUCAUUUCCUUUUUGACAUCAUGGAGGUAAAAUGACAGGAGGGUGGAUGAGGAAUUUUAAUCCCUGAAGCCGAUCAAGAUUUUGUCCCACUGAAUAAACAUCCAUUCAAAAUAUUGGUCAAGUACUCCAUACCGGUGUGUUGGCUCAGUUGGUAGAGCGUCCGUCUUGUACAUCGCCUUGGCAGCAGCAGCAAUGCGCAUUUAGCCAGUAAGCCCUUCGCGUAUUGCACCCGCAUUCAUAAGCGCAAUGAAUGUAUUUUCUUAUGACAUCAAGACUGUGCAAUGGUACAUUUUGGACAGUACGUGUUCAAUUGAAUGCUAGCAUUCAGCCUCCCAUUUGAUUGCGUACAACAAGCUAAGUAGGCAUUGUACAUUAAUGAAUGCACAGCUGAGUGCAGCUUUAAAAAUCAGCAAGAAAUUCAUCCACAUUGUGCUGCACUCAACCCGGUUGAGGUGAAUGGGUACCUGGCAGAAAUUUGUUCCUUGAAAUGCCACCGUCCUGUAAAAGGCUGCGGGGCUAAAGCCAGGGUAAUAAUAUCCAAGUCCUUUGGAAACGCAUAGGGACGUACAAGAACUGCGUUAUUAUUAUUAUCGUGCAUCAUGACCAUGAUAUGUUCAAGCAUGGUUAAGAUGUUGUGGGACAUGGACGUGCUGUUGAUGGAUUGUCAUGUUGGAGACUCAUGGAUUUUGUAAUAACUAGCCCCAUCUUAAAGGGGGAGUGAACUGUGUGUUAUAAAUACCUAGUCUUAACCCUAAUUCUCCCGGGGUAUUUUUAUUCUUGUCAUUCCCGGGGGGGGGGGGGGGGGGCCCAUUAUGGCCCCCCCUUAAGAUCUCAGCCGCGGAUUGCGCGAUCACAACCAAAAUUUGCAUGAUGGUAGAGAAUGAUGUAUUCUACGCAGUUGCAUUGGUAAAUUUCACUGAAUUCAUAUAUUUUUAUUUUAUAUGAAUUAAUUAUGCUAAUUUAUUCAUGAAAUCAUACUUUUUGCUCUGAUUCACUAAAUAAAGCUCCUAGAAUGCUAGUUUUUGGUGAAAAUAUUCUCUAUAGCAUUCCUAACAAUUGUGAAUGAAAAAAAUUCUGGUACCAAGACCGAUUUCUUAUGUAUUUCCUUGUUUUUUCACUUUUUGUUUUUUAUUGUUUUUUCGAUGGAAAUCGUUCCAGACUUAAUUCUGAUCAUAAACAAGGCAAAAUUAAAUAAGUUUAAUUAGUAAAAGUAGAAAUAUUGAUACAUUUAAUAAUAUUGGCUAAAUACACAAUUUGCAUUGGAUUUGGACAUGAAAUCACGUUUUUGAGCAAUUUUGGGUCUGACAUGCACUUACAUAAUGUUGCGUAAUGUCGUAACCGCGUACCCGGGCGUCACAAAUUUGGUCUCAAAAUUUGCGCGAGACUUGAAAGUAAAAAGUCAGUGAGCAGUGAGGUCAAAAAAAUUUGCGCAGCAGAUAUAUCGCGAAAAUUGUUGAGGGGGGGCCAUUAUGGCCCCCCCCCCCCCGGCAGAAUUAGGGUUAAAAUACACGUUUUCAGAUAUCUACUAAUACUAUAAAAGAUAAUAAAUUGACCUACAUGUACAUGUAUAAUUGUAUUUGUAUAGAGAUACUAAAAUGUUUUGAGAGGAAAAGUAAUUAGUUUGCUACUUGGUAAAAUAAUUAUUGCAGUAUAAAUGUAUUGAGUAGUUAAUUAGCAUGUUAUCCUUCAAGUGGGUCUAUAUUACUAGACUACACUAGCAUUAUGGGACAGGAAACUGGCCAGGUAUGAGAACUUGAGGACUCAAGAUGGCGCUUUUGGUUCAUAUCUGCUUUAAGAGAGUGUUGUUGGCUCAGUUGGUAAAAUGUCUGCCUGUCGAACCAAAGAUCGUGGGUUCGAGUACGCCCCAGGCAGAUGACUGAAGCCAGUGCGUUGUGUGUUAACGUCUCUCCCCUGUUUCAUAGAUGCAGGCUAUGUUAACUCUUUGCCCGCCACGUACACUAUCCCCUCUGCGCAACAUUAAUUUUGGGGUGCCACAUUCAGAGGGGGUUUGCGUGCACUGUCCUAUUCAACUCGCAAUAACUUUUUACUGGUUUGUCGUAUUGAAAAAAAUUGUGUAGCAAAGUUUUAGAGAAAUGAAUACUCUUGCCAAUGGUAUCAUUUUUGCUAUGUAUAAAAUCAUGGAUUUUGAGAAUUUUAACUUUACAUUCUGUUUCCAAUUUUUCGUUUAGGAGGGUAUUUUAUACCUCUUAUAUUCAAUACUUCCUAAUGAAGGUUAAAUUUCUAAGUUAGUCCAUUGAAAAGAUGUGUUCUUUAGCUUUCAUUACAUACCAAAUCCAUGUCUUUAUGGUCAUUAUGAGCUAAGCAGUUUAGGAUUGAAAUGGGGCAUUCAAAAAGAGCAAACUGACAAUGAACUAAACUCUUCUAUUGAAAUUGUCCCUGGCUGCUUCUCAAUAGUCUUCCCGUCCUGGGAGACUUCCUGUCCUGGGAGACUUCCCGUCAAUUGAUACUUUGAUCCCCUUAUUGUUAUAGGGAGGUGGCAAUUUGUAUCAUUCUUUUAUUACAAGGAAAGCAGUGCAAGCUAUUGAAAGCUCAUCUAAAUAUAUCCUAAAGCAGUUCAAAAAACUCAAUUUUACCCGAAAAAUCUCUAUGUAAACAACGUCGAUGAAAGCUAUAACACGAAAGCUAGAUUCGUAAACAAUGCAAUACACGCGUCCCUAUUGUAUGUGUGUGUACACAAUUACAAUUAAAUGCGUUCCGUAUGCAUUGUGUGCGAACUGUGACUUGAGUCGUUGUUGGCAUUUCUUUGGAUAGGACAUUAAGUGGAGAGUCAACACCUUUGCACGAUAAGAACCCACUGCAUCAUUCGAAUAAGAGUAGGGGGAAACCUAGGUGUAGUGGUCCACCUGCACUCCCCCCAAUCAGUUAUAUUGGGAGGAGAGACCUGCGGGUCAUAGUGAUUCAGCUUGCUUUUCGCCUCCCAGGCACAAGUGACGCCAAAAAAAUGAUAAUGAUAAUAAUAAUAGUUCAAAGAUGGGAAAAUGUAUCACUAGAAUUGGAGUUCAAAUCUAAGUAAGGUAUUUAGUGCAACAUCUGAUGCAUCCCCCCAACUUCCUACCCACCCCAUCCAAUACCAUGUAAAUAUCCUAGUUUUGUUGCACAAGUGGCUGAUUUUCAUGACGAUAAUGAAAAUGGUAAUCAUUUUCACAAUUUUAUAAUUUACCUACAUGUAGGACUUGCCCUAAAAUUAUCUUUCCCUCCAACACAGGGGCUAAAAAAGGGUAAUUCUACAACAAUGAAUGUAGAUACUAGAUUUAUUUUGAAUUUCCAAAAUGCUCCAUUGGGCAUGUUGUGUCAAACCUUUGACUAUAAGGGGAGGAUGUUUUGGCCAUUUCUUGGCAGUUUUCCACAACUAUUUUUCUUUUCAAAAUGCCGAACAAUUAAAAAAAUAAAAAUGAAAUUACCAGUCAAUAUCGAGCUUUGGGAACAUGGUACUCUCCAUUAGAAUAAUACAUACACAUUAACCCUAAACUUUAACCCCCCCUCAACAUUUUCUGUGAUCAUUCCGCCGCGCGAAAUUUUUUGACCGCGCCACUCGCAGAGUUUAUACUUUUAAAUCUCUCGCAUCUUUUGAGACCAAAUUUAUGACGCCCGGGUACGCGGUUCUGAAAUCACGCAACAUUUCGUAAGUGCAUGUCAGACCAAAACUUGUUCCAAAACGUGAUUUUGUGUACAAAGUCAAUGCAAAUUGAUUUUUCUCAUCUUAUUCAUAAAGAUAUGAUUAUUUUUACUUUAAACAGCUGAAAUCAAUUGAUUUUAGCAUAAUUAUGCUUCAAAAAGGUUGUGCAAUAAAUCUGGUGAAAAAAACAAAGAAAAAAAAGAGGUUGAAAAACAUAGAAAUACAUAAGAAAUUCAUAAAACAAUAAAAUACAUUCAAUUGCAAUUGUUAAGAAUGCUACAAAGAAUAUUUUUACCAAAAAUUAGCUUUCUAGGAGCUUUAUUUAGUGAAUUAGAGCAAAAAGUAUGAUUUAUGCAUAAAUUAGCAUAAUUAAUUCAUAUGAAAUAAAAUUUCAUUAUUUUGGAAAAUUUUACCAUACAGCCUUGUAGAUUACAUUGCACACUACC